Molecule: long non-coding RNA, 370 nt
Organism: Cebus imitator (Panamanian white-faced capuchin)
Lineage: Eukaryota; Metazoa; Chordata; Mammalia; Primates; Cebidae
Exons: 3
Source: RefSeq, a predicted model, not a curated record
UGCUGUUCACCUCCCACCAUGAUUCUGAGGUCUCCCCAGCCAUGUGGAACUAUAAGUCCACUUAAACCUCUUCUUCCCUGUCUCGGGGAUACAAAUUCUCUCUUCUCACCACAUGGCUGCUGCUGGAGAAUGAAGGUGGGGUGGUGUCAGCAAUUCAAGACUGUCUUUCCUACCCUCUUCAGUGCCCAACCUUGUUAAGUUGUUUAAACCAGUUCUACUACAGAAGCCAGAGUGGCACAUGUGGCACCUGGUCAGGAUGGACUCACUAAAGGAUUUAACCCAGACUUCUGAUGAACAAAUAUUGCUGCUAUAUUAACUGAUUCACACAACAAAGUAAUAAAAUAUCGUCCUGUUGAUUUUAUUAUUUAAA